Molecule: long non-coding RNA, 1123 nt
Filed under: Oryza sativa (Asian cultivated rice)
Lineage: Eukaryota; Viridiplantae; Streptophyta; Magnoliopsida; Poales; Poaceae
Description: long non-coding RNA (OSAT_LNC000105)
Source: RNAcentral
UUCGAUCAAUUUCAUCUCAUUCAGAGUUCUUGCUUGGAAUGUGCUAUUCUUGGGUCAAUUGCAUUCAGUCACAUUAAGUUGAGCACAAGCACAUGCCAUGGAAAAAAAAGAAAGAAACUUGAAUGGCUCAAGUUGUCACAGAGUGGAACUCCAAUAAGUACUCCAAGAUAGAAUUUCAGGAAUAUCAUCCUCAUGUGGUUUUCAACCCAAGCACAAAUUGAAAGAACAUUGAAACCUUAAGAUAUUAUCACUGAAUUAUUGCCAAAUUAGACAAAGAGUACACUAUUUUGAAGGUGCUAACUUCAGAUGGAGUACACACUAUUUUGUCAAACAAGCUUUGUUCUUGGCACAAGCACAAGCUUCUAGUGCUGUUGAAUUGAAGUGACUGGAGCAUCAAUCGGCUUCUACUAUGGUAGAGUUCCUAAGCUGCUUCAAAACUUAUCUUAAAAACUUGUAUGGACUUCACUUCUGCCUAGGCACCUGAACUGCCGCUUGAUUCAAUGGAUAGCUGUUACUGUUAGACAACACUUGCAUCUAACAUUUGUAUCUGACAUUUGCAUUGGUAGUACACACUCUCUCUCUCUCUCUCCUUUUUACGUUGGUAUCUGACAUUUCCAUUUUCUGUCAUAUUUUCAGCUGUUCUGAAGAAUACAAGUCUGAAGAGCUACUUUCAGGUCAGUGAAACCACACUGACAACCAUUUUAGAAACAGAAUUGAAUUGCCCUGAUUACCGCUUGAUGCCUUGAAGCAUAUACAAUCAAAGUUCAAACAGAUGUGGCCAUCAUAUAUGUAUAUGUAGCACAGUUUGAUUCCUCUUUGCUAGUCAAAAGAUGGUAUCAUCAAUCAAUAAUAGUUACAGUAUUGAUUCCAUGGAGUAGUAGGAUUACAACAAUUAAGGACGAUGAAGAGAAAGGGGUGGCUGGCGAUACACAUAGAGAGGCAAAGCAGGGGGUAGCUUAGUUACAACUUACAAACGAAGCUCUGAUCGAUCAAGUCUGAUUUGAUUGAUGCAGCUGAAGAAGAAGAGGAAGAAGACGACGAUGAUGAUGCAAUCAGCUGCUGACGUACUUGUCGAUGAUGGUGGCGAGGGUGGUCUUGGGGACGGCGCCGAUGACGCUCUCCU